CUUGAAGAUAAGCCCGUUCCUCUCUCUGGUAUAUUCUUUGCUUAAUAAAUCUUGUGGGGUGGUUAUUUGUGUGUCUCAUCCAAUUCUUUGUUCAUAACACCAAGAACCUGGAACUCCCAACUUCCAAUCUGGUAACAUAUUUUGGUGAGCCAGCCAGGAGGGUCAAGCCUGCAAUACCUAAAGCUCCAGACCUGGAACCCAAAGCUCCCAUCAGUCGCUACCCUGUGAACCUGUGGAGGAUCUGAAGUACCUGUUUAAAAGGCAUCCAAAAGAUAGAAUCUAUCAAGCUACAAAUGGCUAUGUUGCCUGAAGCCCCAGACAUCAUCCUACAAGAAAUAAGUCCAGACUUCUUAAUUUCCCCCUGGAUAGAGCAGGGUUGUUCAGCUCUGGCUCAAUGCAGCGAAAUAUUUUAAUCAUCAUUUGGCGGAUCAUAUCUUUCCUGUUCAGAAAACAGACAAGAAGUAUAAAGUUAUAA
RNAcentral lists this long non-coding RNA (475 nucleotides) under Homo sapiens (human). RNAcentral's name for it is "PREDICTED lncRNA (TCONS_00206032)". The record is from RNAcentral. Lineage: Eukaryota; Metazoa; Chordata; Mammalia; Primates; Hominidae.